Acanthosepion pharaonis is the source of this 113-nucleotide non-coding RNA. Lineage: Eukaryota; Metazoa; Mollusca; Cephalopoda; Sepiida; Sepiidae. The record is from the annotation of a GenBank genome assembly.
UUGCGGCCAUAUCUGUUUGAAAGACCGUUUCUCGUACGAUCACCGAAGUUAAGCGGUGUUGAGUAUAGUCAGUACUUAGAUGAGUGACCGCGUUAGCACAUCAGAUGCUGUAA